GGCAAGGAUUUCUUGGAGCUACACCUUAACAUACACUAAAACUCCAUCAUUUUCAAGGGUUUACUAGCUUGGUCGGGGAUUAUUUUGGACAUUUGGUUUUGCUAGCAUACGCACGGAACGCAAUUUCGAGGCAUCAUCGUUAUGGUUUGGUAAGUGAAAUUUGGUUCGUGGCUUUAAGAAGUUGCAUGCAUCAUGGACGAUACCUUUUGGGGGUU
This 215-nucleotide long non-coding RNA is filed under the name Helianthus annuus (common sunflower). RNAcentral describes it as "sRNA HanXRQr2_Chr13g0597301". Lineage: Eukaryota; Viridiplantae; Streptophyta; Magnoliopsida; Asterales; Asteraceae. The record is from RNAcentral.